UACUUCCACAAGGGGAGCCGCUUUUAAGGCUGAGAGUGAACGAUGAUAAGUUCUGACCCUUUGAACCUGUUAGUUAACGCUAACGUAGGGAUGUGGUUUGCCGGAUAG
RNAcentral lists this non-coding RNA (108 nucleotides) under Bacillus sp. (in: firmicutes). RNAcentral's name for it is "Bacillus sp. TPP sequence". It matches the Rfam family "TPP riboswitch aptamer (THI element)". From Rfam's summary of the family: Vitamin B(1) in its active form thiamin pyrophosphate (TPP) is an essential coenzyme that is synthesised by coupling of pyrimidine and thiazole moieties in bacteria. The previously detected thiamin-regulatory element, thi box was extended, resulting in a new, highly conserved RNA secondary structure, the THI element, which is widely distributed in eubacteria and also occurs in some archaea. Lineage: Bacteria; Bacillati; Bacillota; Bacilli; Caryophanales; Bacillaceae. The record is from RNAcentral. RNAcentral also lists the same sequence under 1 other name.